This 512-nucleotide ribosomal RNA is filed under the name uncultured bacterium. Its description in RNAcentral is "bacterial SSU rRNA". It matches the Rfam family "Bacterial small subunit ribosomal RNA", at positions 95 to 606 of the family's 1533-position model. The record is from RNAcentral.
CCGGCGCACGGGUGAGUAACACGUAUCCAACCUUCCGUUUACUCGGGGAUAGCCUUUCGAAAGAAAGAUUAAUACCCGAUAGUAUGUUUUUCCCGCAUGGGAGAACCAUUAAAGUUUUUCGGUAAUCGAUGGGGAUGCGUUCCAUUAGGCAGUUGGUGAGGUAACGGCUCACCAAACCUUCGAUGGAUAGGGGUUCUGAGAGGAAGGUCCCCCACAUUGGAACUGAGACACUGUCCAAACUCCUACGGGAGGCAGCAGUGAGGAAUAUUGGUCAAUGGACGAGAGUCUGAACCAGCCAAGUAGCGUGAAGGAUGACUGCCCUAUGGGUUGUAAACUUCUUUUAUAUGGGAAUAAAGGAGCCUACGUGUAGGUUUUUGUAUGUACCAUACGAAUAAGGAUCGGCUAACUCCGUGCCAGCAGCCGCGGUAAUACGGAGGAUCCAAGCGUUAUCCGGAUUUAUUGGGUUUAAAGGGAGCGUAGGUGGAGGCUUAAGUCAGUUGUGAAAGUUUGCG